RNAcentral lists this long non-coding RNA (339 nucleotides) under Nicotiana benthamiana. Its description in RNAcentral is "long non-coding RNA (NBEN_LNC002725)". Lineage: Eukaryota; Viridiplantae; Streptophyta; Magnoliopsida; Solanales; Solanaceae. The record is from RNAcentral.
UUAAAAUAUUUGUGAUCGAUUUUUAUUAUGAUGUUAAUGUUUUAUUUGCAGAAAACUGGAUGUGGUUAUUGGGAAUGGAAAGACAAUGAAUUUUCACCAAGAGCUAUUAUAGUCAUCGGCAAAUUGAAAAGAAAAAAGGAUGUUCUUCUUAAAGAAAGACUGGGAAAUAGGUGGGGGUGGGGGAAUUAUUUCUUAUGUUUUGGGUUUUCAUUAUUGGAUUUGUGGUUAGUUUCAUGUUUUGAGGGAAGACUUGAAAAUAUGGUUGUAAUUGUUUAUGGUAGUAAUUGCUUAUGGUUGUUUUAGUUGUAUAAUUUAUAUGCAUUGUAUUGUAAUGGUUGG